This is a non-coding RNA of Pelobates cultripes (western spadefoot toad), 491 nucleotides long. The record is from the annotation of a GenBank genome assembly. NCBI's taxonomy places the organism in Eukaryota, Metazoa, Chordata, Amphibia, Anura, Pelobatidae.
GUGGUGACUGUCACUAGUCACCACCUCCCUCACUUUGUCCCUAGUCACUCCUCCCUCUGUCACUAGUCACACCCUCCCUCACUCUCUCACUAGAGUGAGGGGGUGACUAGUGACAGAGUGAGGGGGUAACAGGUGACAGAGUGAGGGAAGGGGUGAAUAGUGACAGAGUGAGAGAGGGGGUGACUAGUGACAGAGUGAGGGAGGGAGUGGGUGACUAGUGACAGAGUGAGGGAGGGUGGGACUAGUGACAGAGUGAGGGAGGUGGUGACUGUCACUAGUCACCACCUCCCUCACCCUGUCACUAGUCACCACCUCCCUCACUCUGUCACUACUCCCUCCCUCUUUCUGUCACUAGUCACCCCCUCCGUCCCUUACUCUGUCACUAGUCACCCCCUAACUCACUAUGUCACCAGUCAUCCCUUCCUUCCCUCACUCUGCCACUAGUCACCCCUUCCCUCACUCUGUCACCAGUCAUUCUCUCACUCUAGUGA